GGUAGUAUAGCUCAGUGGUAGAGUGUGUGAUUAAAAUGCACAAGGUCCUGGGUUUGAUACCCAGUACCUCCA
Molecule: transfer RNA, 72 nt
Organism: Camelus ferus (Wild Bactrian camel)
Lineage: Eukaryota; Metazoa; Chordata; Mammalia; Artiodactyla; Camelidae
Rfam family: tRNA
About the family: Transfer RNA (tRNA) molecules are approximately 80 nucleotides in length. Their secondary structure includes four short double-helical elements and three loops (D, anti-codon, and T loops). Further hydrogen bonds mediate the characteristic L-shaped molecular structure. tRNAs have two regions of fundamental functional importance: the anti-codon, which is responsible for specific mRNA codon recognition, and the 3' end, to which the tRNAs corresponding amino acid is attached (by aminoacyl-tRNA synthetases). tRNAs cope with the degeneracy of the genetic code in two manners: having more than one tRNA (with a specific anti-codon) for a particular amino acid; and 'wobble' base-pairing, i.e. permitting non-standard base-pairing at the 3rd anti-codon position.
Source: Rfam